RNAcentral lists this non-coding RNA (72 nucleotides) under Deltaproteobacteria bacterium. RNAcentral's name for it is "Fluoride sequence". It matches the Rfam family "Fluoride riboswitch aptamer (crcB RNA motif)". The record is from RNAcentral. Lineage: Bacteria; Pseudomonadati; Myxococcota; Myxococcia.
UAUAAUCUUGGCGAUGAAGUUCGCCAUUAAAUGCUCCCUCUCUUAUCGGGGGCUGAUAACUUCUACUGGUUU